Non-coding RNA from Chinchilla lanigera (long-tailed chinchilla), 69 nucleotides. The record is from Ensembl. NCBI's taxonomy places the organism in Eukaryota, Metazoa, Chordata, Mammalia, Rodentia, Chinchillidae.
GUAAUUAUAGUUUAAUAAAAACAUUAGAUUGUGAAUCUAACAAUAGAAGACCAAAACUUCUUAUUUACC